CUCAACAAGGAAAAAAUCGCACGCCGCCACUACAAGAUGAACAUGAAUUCGCAUCUUCUAUUUUUAUUUCUUGCUGCCUUUUUUAAGGGGUCGGUUGAGAUUUCGCCAGCUUAUCCAGUUGGAGUAAACCGCCCACUGUUUCACCUUAGUUUCCCAGAAGACGCCGGUGACAGACAGAGCAUCUUGCGUUUCUUCGUCCCUGGCGACGUUUUGAAUUUCAAGGUGGGACAACCAAGGAAUGAACGACAUACGAUUGUCUCUGAGCCGAUGGUGAGAAGAAAUAAAACAAUAACAAAACGGCGCUGUUUCGAUGUCAAAGACAUAUGUUGUUGGUGGCAAAUCUGUUAGAAGGUGAAGCAGUUGAAGCAUUGCCAGUGAAACAAACAUAAAUGACUAUUUUUUUUAGUCUGUUUACCUACACAAGUGUUGUAUUUCCUGUCUGACACAUACGAACCGGAUCCGUUUAUCUCCAUGCUGCGCACUUUGACUUCUGUGGAAAGCGUCCAAAUAGAACUCAAUUUGAAACGUUUUGGCCUUCGUUAUCACGUCAGUUCUUUAAUGAGAAUAUAAACCUACUACUUAAAUACUUCCUGUUAUUGUUGUUAGUCUGCACUAUGAAAUACGAUUUUUUGGAUCAUAAUGCCAAAAUUACACGAAUACUUUGAAUACUUUAAUAUGCAGAUAUUAAUUCUAUUCUGCCUUAAAGAUGUGCUAUUGAUUUAUGUCCCUCUGACUUAUAUCCCAUUAUAAGCCUCAGUGUUAAUUUUUUUCCGAGAAAAAAAUAAAGAUCGUCCAAUAAAUCUUGCAGUGUGGUCAAACUGAAGACUUGUUUAGCAGACUGCCUGGCAAAUUUGAAUGAAUUAUUGGUAUUUAUAGGUAAAUUAAAGGUCCUUACCACUGGCGCACUAUUAUUUCAUCGUCUCUAUUAAAAGACGAUGACGAGCGGUGUCUAUGUGGUAUCUUGCUGAAUAGCUAAGCAACGAUGUAAUUUCCUUUGAAAAGAUCAUUAAUAAAUGUACGUGCACUG
This is a long non-coding RNA of Lingula anatina, 1027 nucleotides long. The record is from RefSeq and is a predicted model, not a curated record. NCBI's taxonomy places the organism in Eukaryota, Metazoa, Brachiopoda, Lingulata, Lingulida, Lingulidae.